This 652-nucleotide ribosomal RNA is filed under the name uncultured bacterium. RNAcentral describes it as "bacterial SSU rRNA". It matches the Rfam family "Bacterial small subunit ribosomal RNA", at positions 62 to 695 of the family's 1533-position model. The record is from RNAcentral.
UCGUGCGGGGGUGCGAUGAGCACCUCAGCGGCAAACGGGUGAGUAACACGUGAGCAACCUGCCCUCAGGAAGGGGAUAACCCUCCGAAAGGGGGGCUAAUACCCUAUAAUGCCUGAGGCCACUAAGGUUUUCAGGCCAAAGGGGGCCUCUGCUCUGCAUGCUCCCGCCUGAGGAGGGGCUCGCGGCCCAUCAGGUAGUUGGUGGGGUAACGGCCUACCAAGCCUAUGACGGGUAGCCGGCCUGAGAGGGUGUCCGGCCACAGUGGGACUGAGACACGGCCCACACCCCUACGGGGGGCAGCAGUGGGGAAUCGUGGGCAAUGGGCGAAAGCCUGACCCCGCGACGCCGCGUGGAGGAAGAAGCCCUUCGGGGUGUAAACUCCUGUCGGGGGGGAAGAUGCGGACAUGGGUUAAUAGCUCAUGUUCGUGACGGUACCCCCAGAGGAAGGGACGGCUAACUACGUGCCAGCAGCCGCGGUAAUACGUAGGUCCCGAGCGUUGCGCGAAUUCACUGGGCGUAAAGCGUCCGCAGCCGGACGGGUAAGCGGUUCGUCAAAGCCCACCGCUCAACGGUGGAAAGGCGUACCGAACUGCCCGUCUUGAGGCACGCUCAGGCAGGCGGAAUUCCCGGUGUAGCGGUGAAAUGCGUAGAU